RNAcentral lists this ribosomal RNA (253 nucleotides) under uncultured bacterium. Its description in RNAcentral is "partial 16S ribosomal RNA". It matches the Rfam family "Bacterial small subunit ribosomal RNA", at positions 524 to 776 of the family's 1533-position model. The record is from RNAcentral.
UACGGAGGGUGCGAGCGUUGUCCGGAAUCACUGGGCGUAAAGGGCGCGUAGGCGGCCGAGCAAGGUCGCGGUGAAAGCCCGGGGCUCAACCCCGGGUCGGCCGUGGCAACUACUCGGCUCGAGCUCUGUAGGGGCGGGUGGAAUUCCAGGUGUAGCGGUGAAAUGCGUAGAUAUCUGGAGGAACACCGGUGGCGAAGGCGGCGUUCUGGACUGUUUCUGACACUGAAAAACGAAAGCCAGGGGAGCAAACGGG